CGUCUUCCAAGGCAUUGAACCUCCCAACUUCUCCUCCACGCCUUCUUCCAAGUGCUUUCUCCUCAACCAAACGUAAACGUCAUCCCUGACGUUAACAUCCUCUAGAACAUCACGUGUUUGUUCCCGACACGACGAAUAAUACACUUUCUUCAAACCAGCUAAGCACUUUUUUUUAAUAGUUUCACAAACUAAAUUGGUCAAAUGCAUGGCCACGAAUCUCUCAGGCCAUUUCUUGUU
This 237-nucleotide long non-coding RNA is filed under the name Capsella rubella. RNAcentral describes it as "long non-coding RNA (CRUB_LNC003762)". Lineage: Eukaryota; Viridiplantae; Streptophyta; Magnoliopsida; Brassicales; Brassicaceae. The record is from RNAcentral.